Molecule: ribosomal RNA, 425 nt
Filed under: uncultured bacterium
Lineage: Bacteria
Description: bacterial SSU rRNA
Rfam family: Bacterial small subunit ribosomal RNA
Source: RNAcentral
GUGGGGAAUAUUGGACAAUGGGCGAAAGCCUGAUCCAGCCAUGCCGCGUGAGUGAUGAAGGCCUUAGGGUUGUAAAGCUCUUUCAGUAGGGAAGAUAAUGACGGUACCUACAGAAGAAGCCCCGGCUAACUUCGUGCCAGCAGCCGCGGUAAUACGAAGGGGGCUAGCGUUGUUCGGAUUUACUGGGCGUAAAGCGCACGUAGGCGGAUUGGGCAGUUAGAGGUGAAAUCCUGGAGCUCAACUCCAGAACUGCCUUUAAUACUGCCAGUCUAGAGUCCAGAAGAGGUGAGUGGGACUCCUAGUGUAGAGGUGGAAUUCGUAGAUAUUAGGAAGAACACCAGUGGCGAAGGCGGCUCACUGGUCUGGUACUGACGCUGAGGUGCGAAAGCGUGGGGAGCAAACAGGAUUAGAUACCCGUGUAGUCC